UUAACUUUAUUUAUAUAUUACUCGGACAACACAAAAAUCAAGAGUUUGGGGUUCUCUGGCAGGCACAGACCAGCCUAAGCCGGUGGUCAAAAGACGGGCCUGCCAAAGCAACAUAGGUAAUGUAAACAAAGGGUGGGAGAUCUACCCCAAAGGGCAAUUUCUCUGUAAUGAUCCUUCCGCAGGUUCACCUACGGAAA
RNAcentral lists this unclassified non-coding RNA (197 nucleotides) under uncultured fungus. RNAcentral describes it as "sequence contains ITS1". Lineage: Eukaryota; Fungi. The record is from RNAcentral.